This 497-nucleotide ribosomal RNA is filed under the name Mucoharknessia anthoxanthi. Its description in RNAcentral is "eukaryotic LSU rRNA". The stretch from base 133 to 286 matches the Rfam family "5.8S ribosomal RNA". Lineage: Eukaryota; Fungi; Ascomycota; Dothideomycetes; Botryosphaeriales; Botryosphaeriaceae. The record is from RNAcentral.
CUCCACCCUUUGUCUACCUCACCUCUGUUGCUUCGGCGGCGACGCGUCGGCUCACGCCCCCGCGCCCCGCCGGAGGACCAUCAAACUCCAGUCAGUGAACGUCGCAGUCUGAAAACAAGUUUAAUAAACUAAAACUUUCAACAACGGAUCUCUUGGUUCUGGCAUCGAUGAAGAACGCAGCGAAAUGCGAUAAGUAAUGUGAAUUGCAGAAUUCAGUGAAUCAUCGAAUCUUUGAACGCACAUUGCGCCCUUUGGUAUUCCGAAGGGCAUGCCUGUUCGAGCGUCAUUACAACCCUCAAGCUCUGCUUGGUAUUGGGCACCGUCCGCCUCCGCGGACGCGCCUCGAAGACCUCGGCGGCGGCGUCAAGCCCUCAAGCGUAGUAGUAAAAUUCUCGCUUUGGAGUGCUGGGCGUCGCCCGCCGGACGAACCUUCUGAACUUUUCUCAAGGUUGACCUCGGAUCAGGUAGGAAUACCCGCUGAACUUAAGCAUAUCAAU